This 424-nucleotide ribosomal RNA is filed under the name uncultured prokaryote. RNAcentral describes it as "bacterial SSU rRNA". It matches the Rfam family "Bacterial small subunit ribosomal RNA", at positions 355 to 796 of the family's 1533-position model. The record is from RNAcentral.
UGGGGAAUAUUGGACAAUGCGGGAAACCGUGAUCCAGCAAUGCCGCGUGAGUGAUGAAGGCCUUAGGGUUGUAAAGCUCUUUUACCAGGGAUGAUAAUGACAGUACCUGGAGAAUAAGCUCCGGCUAACUCCGUGCCAGCAGCCGCGGUAAUACGGAGGGAGCUAGCGUUGUUCGGAAUUACUGGGCGUAAAGGGCGCGUAGGCGGCCUGUUAAGUUGGAUGUGAAAGCCCGGGGCUCAACCUCGGAACGGCAUCCGAUACUGGCGGGCUCGAGACCGGGAGAGGAGGGUGGAAUACCCAGUGUAGAGGUGAAAUUCGUAGAUAUUGGGUGGAACACCGGUGGCGAAAGCGGCUCUCUGGCCCGGUUCUGACGCUGAGGCGCGAAAGCGUGGGGAGCAAACAGGAUUAGAUACCCGUGUAGUCC